GGGGGAACCCUGACCGAGCAACGCCGCGUGAGUGAAGAAGGUUUUCGGAUCGUAAAGCUCUGUUGUUAAGGAAGAACGUGUGUGAGAGUGGAAAGUUCACACAGUGACGGUACUCAACCAGAAAGGGACGGCUAACUACGUGCCAGCAGCCGCGGUAAUACGUAGGUCCCGAGCGUUGUCCGGAUUUAUUGGGCGUAAAGCGAGCGCAGGCGGUUAGAUAAGUCUGAAGUGAAAGGCAGUGGCUCAACCAUUGUAGGCUUUGGAAACUGUUUAACUUGAGUGCAGAAGGGGAGAGUGGAAUUCCAUGUGUAGCGGUGAAAUGCGUAGAUAUAUGGAGGAACACCGGUGGCGAAAGCGGCUCUCUGGUCUGUAACUGACGCUGAGGCUCGAAAGCGUGGGGAGCGAACAGGAUUAGAUACCCUGGUAGUCCACGCCGUAAACGAUGAGUGCUAGGUGUUAGGUCCUUCCCGGGACUUAGUGCCGCAGCUAACGCAUUAAGCACUCCGCCUGGGGAGUACGACCGCAAGGUUGAAACUCAAAGGAAUUGACGGGGGCCCGCACAAGCGGUGGAGCAUGUGGUUUAAUUCGAAGCAACGCGAAGAACCUUACCAGGUCUUGACAUCCCGAUGCCCGCUCUAGAGAUAGAGCUU
This 650-nucleotide ribosomal RNA is filed under the name Streptococcus intermedius. RNAcentral's name for it is "bacterial SSU rRNA". It matches the Rfam family "Bacterial small subunit ribosomal RNA", at positions 374 to 1014 of the family's 1533-position model. Lineage: Bacteria; Bacillati; Bacillota; Bacilli; Lactobacillales; Streptococcaceae. The record is from RNAcentral.